RNAcentral lists this long non-coding RNA (264 nucleotides) under Fukomys damarensis (Damara mole-rat). Its description in RNAcentral is "lncRNA (ENSFDAG00000033551.1)". The record is from RNAcentral. Lineage: Eukaryota; Metazoa; Chordata; Mammalia; Rodentia; Bathyergidae.
AUGGCCGUGUGGCUGGGAACGCAGGAUAUUUUGAGCAGCACAGGGGAAUUCUGCGUUACCCUGGAGACGAACAGACACAGGCCGCAGGGCAGCAGCACAUCUGCGCUCAGUAAGAGGCCUGGGCCGUGCAGGGCUCCCAGGGUCAGCAGGGGAGUGGGCGGGGCUGUGGGCGGGGCUCCAGCUGCCAGGACAGCUGCGGACUCCACUGGGAAGCAGAAGAUCCUGUUCUGCCUGAACAUGCACUUGUGGCUGUCCUCCCGGUAA